Molecule: ribosomal RNA, 253 nt
Filed under: uncultured bacterium
Lineage: Bacteria
Description: partial 16S ribosomal RNA
Rfam family: Bacterial small subunit ribosomal RNA
Source: RNAcentral
UACGAAGGGGGCUAGCGUUGCUCGGAAUCACUGGGCGUAAAGCGCACGUAGGCGGGUCUUUAAGUCAGGGGUGAAAUCCUGGAGCCCAACUCCAGAACUGCCUUUGAUACUGAGGAUCUCGAGUCCGGGAGAGGUGAGUGGAACUCCGAGUGUAGAGGUGAAAUUCGUAGAUAUUCGGAAGAACACCAGUGGCGAAGGCGGCUCACUGGCCCGGUACUGACGCUGAUGUGCGAAAGCGUGGGGAGCAAACAGG